AACUGUAUUAAGCACUAAAAUUAAUCAUUUUUUCUUAACAUUCCCCCUUUUGAGGUCUUAAUCAAAAGACCUCAAUAAAAAUUGAUUAAGCCUUCUAAUACAGAACCAAAACUAUGUAUUAAACUAAUAAAAAUAAAAAAACGAAAAAACCAAAAAACAAAAAGACAAAAGAGUGACGUACCCUAAUUAUAUACAGUUCCCCUUUUUAAACAAAACUCAA
Xiphophorus couchianus (Monterrey platyfish) is the source of this 220-nucleotide long non-coding RNA. RefSeq lists it as uncharacterized. Lineage: Eukaryota; Metazoa; Chordata; Actinopteri; Cyprinodontiformes; Poeciliidae. The record is from RefSeq and is a predicted model, not a curated record. The transcript is spliced from 2 exons.